This 438-nucleotide RNase P RNA is filed under the name Actinomycetes bacterium. Its description in RNAcentral is "Actinobacteria bacterium RNase P RNA component class A". It matches the Rfam family "Bacterial RNase P class A". From Rfam's summary of the family: Ribonuclease P (RNase P) is a ubiquitous endoribonuclease, found in archaea, bacteria and eukarya as well as chloroplasts and mitochondria. Its best characterised activity is the generation of mature 5'-ends of tRNAs by cleaving the 5'-leader elements of precursor-tRNAs. Lineage: Bacteria; Bacillati; Actinomycetota; Actinomycetes. The record is from RNAcentral.
GAAGCAGGCCGGGCGGCCGCGGCCGGACGCGAAAGCUCCGGUCGAGGAAAGUCGGGCCUCCGCAGGGCAGGACGGUGGGUAACACCCACCCGGAGCGAUCCGGGGACAGUGCCACAGAAACGGUACCGCCAGCGGCCGCGGACGAUGGGCCGAGCACCAGGGCCAGGCCCCGUCGGCGGUGCGGGCAAGGGUGAAACGGUGGGGUAAGAGCCCACCAGCGCGAGGGGUGACCCUCGCGGCUCGGUAAACCCCGUCCGGAGCAAGGCCAAGCAGGGAGCGUUUUCCGGCGGCCCGCCGGAACGAUCCGCAAGGAUCUACGCUCUCGGGUAGGCCGCACGAGGCCGGCGGUGACGCCGGCCCCAGAGAGAUGGCCGCCCCGCCGCCCCGGCGCGAGCCGGACGCGACGGACAGAAGCCCGCUUACAGACCGGCUUCCGAA